UUUCCUGUUUAGUGUUCAGUAUUCCAUGGAGAUUCUAUAAUGGAGAGGGAGAGAUUCAGCAAUGGAAUUGGUAAAAUUUUGUAUCCUAGCAAAGCAUGAAACCCCACAAUUUGCUUCUCGAUUUCUCAGUCCUCUCUCUGUAAACCGCUUUCAGAAACAGACAAAAGUUUUGGCACGGCUCUGGGACUUAUACUAUUACCUGCCUUAUUUCCCUUCGCUCAUUUCACGCCAAGUCGCCAACCACAGCUUAUGUGUUCUUAAGAUCAGAGCUCUAAAAUGUCAAUGGCAAACCAUUUCAAGAAGGUUGUAUCUGCUGUUAUCCUUGAUUUAGAUGGUACCCUUCUCAAUACAGAUGGAGUAGUAAAUGAUGUUCUAAAAGGUUUUUUGGUCAAAUAUGGGAAACAAUGGGAUGGAAGAGAAGCUAAUAAAAUAGUUGGGAAGACCCCUUUGGAAGCUGCUGCUACUAUAGUGGAAGAUUACGGGCUUCCUUGUGCAGCAGAGGCAUUUAUUGCAGAAAUUACUCCUGUGUUCUCUGAUCAGUUGUGCAAAAUAAAGGCACUUCCAGGUGCCAAUCGGUUGAUUAAACAUUUGAGUGGUAAUAAUAUACCGAUGGCAUUGGCUUCAAACUCUCCAAAGGCAAGCGUAGAAUCCAAAAUUUCAUAUCAACAAGGCUGGCAGAAAUCCUUCUCUGUUAUUAUUGGUGGUGAUGAAGUAAGGGCUGGGAAACCAUCUCCUGAAAUAUUUUUGGAAGCAGCUAAAAGGCUAAAUGUCAAACCCUCCAGUUGCCUAGUCAUUGAAGAUUCUUUGCCAGGUGUUAUGGGUGGUAAGGCCGCUGGAAUGGAAGUGGUUGCAGUACCAUCACUUCCUAAACAAUCCCAUCUUUAUACAGCAGCAGAUGAAGUGAUAAACUCUCUACUUGAUUUGCAACCUGAAAAUUGGGGCCUGCCUGCGUUCAAAGAUUGGAUUGAGGGUACCUUGCCCAUGGAACCUUGGCAUGUUGGUGGUCCUGUAAUUAAGGGAUUUGGUCGUGGCUCAAAGGUCCUUGGGAUCCCCACUGGUAUUUCAGAUUUAACCAUUUAUGCAGCUUUGCUAAAUAUCAAUUUCCUAUUUAGUCUUCUGUUGCAUCUGCUAAUCUAUCGACAGAAGGUUAUUCAGAAAUGCUUUCGGAACAUCCUUCCGGAGUUUAUUUUGGUUGGGCUGGAUUAUCAACACGUGGUGUGUAUAAAAUGGUUAUGAGUAUCGGUUGGAACCCAUAUUUUAACAACGCAGAAAAGACUAUAGAGCCAUGGCUGCUUCAUGAAUUUGAAGAAGAUUUCUAUGGUGAGGAAUUGCGUCUCGUUAUAGUUGGCUAUAUUCGACCAGAGGCUAACUUCAAAUCACUUGAAAGCUUGAUAGCAAAGAUUCACGAGGACGGAAGAUGUGCAGAGAGAGCCCUGGAUCUUCCACUAUACUCAAAAUAUAGGGACGAUCCAUACUUGAGAGGAUCUUCAUUGUGGUGAGAUGAUAUGCAAAUCUCUUGUAAACCUAAUGGGCAUGAAAUGAUGCCAUAGGAGGGUCAUAUUGUUGUCAAUUUGUGAUGGGUCAUGGAUAUGAACCACUAAUAAAUAAAAUUACAUUGACUGAAAAUUUUGUCCAUUA
Manihot esculenta (cassava) is the source of this 1638-nucleotide RNA transcript. It is a transcript of the gene named bifunctional riboflavin kinase/FMN phosphatase, with no coding region annotated. Lineage: Eukaryota; Viridiplantae; Streptophyta; Magnoliopsida; Malpighiales; Euphorbiaceae. The record is from RefSeq and is a predicted model, not a curated record. The transcript is spliced from 11 exons.